GCUGCUAUGAGGCUAUGUUGUGGGAAAGGUUGACAUAAUAACAGGGUCCUAGCAGACGAAUAAGAAGAAAAAAAUCAUUGAUAGAACACGUCACACUAUUUUAUAUCCAAAAUAUCACAUCUGUCUCGAUACUUCUCGCCUGGAAAUCGUGAGAAAGAGUUUCUUAAGAUUUUUAUUACUUUUAUUACCUACAAUUAUUUGAAGAAAUAGACGGAGUCUAAAUUUAAAUUGGCAAAAAGAUAUUAUUUACGUUCCAAGGAUAUUAAGCUCAUAUUUUUAAAAAAAUACUUUAUAGGCCAUUUCAAUGUGAUAAUUAUUUAUUAUGUCUUUAUAAAAAUUAU
This is a long non-coding RNA of Centruroides sculpturatus (bark scorpion), 341 nucleotides long. RefSeq lists it as uncharacterized. NCBI's taxonomy places the organism in Eukaryota, Metazoa, Arthropoda, Arachnida, Scorpiones, Buthidae. The transcript is spliced from 3 exons. The record is from RefSeq and is a predicted model, not a curated record.